RNAcentral lists this non-coding RNA (31 nucleotides) under Rattus norvegicus (Norway rat). The record is from RNAcentral. Lineage: Eukaryota; Metazoa; Chordata; Mammalia; Rodentia; Muridae.
UAAAAGAGUCUGCCUUUUAAGUUAUGGGAGU